GGAUGGGUAGACCGCUAAGGAGGCGGGACAGCCUGUAAAGCUGUCGUCAUACGGCCCGCUCGGAUCGUUACCGGGACCAUCCACCA
RNAcentral lists this transfer RNA (86 nucleotides) under Burkholderia pseudomallei. RNAcentral's name for it is "tRNA-Tyr(gta)". The record is from RNAcentral. Lineage: Bacteria; Pseudomonadati; Pseudomonadota; Betaproteobacteria; Burkholderiales; Burkholderiaceae.